This 1552-nucleotide ribosomal RNA is filed under the name Enterobacter hormaechei. Its description in RNAcentral is "bacterial SSU rRNA". It matches the Rfam family "Bacterial small subunit ribosomal RNA". Lineage: Bacteria; Pseudomonadati; Pseudomonadota; Gammaproteobacteria; Enterobacterales; Enterobacteriaceae. The record is from RNAcentral.
AAAUUGAAGAGUUUGAUCAUGGCUCAGAUUGAACGCUGGCGGCAGGCCUAACACAUGCAAGUCGAACGGUAACAGGAAGCAGCUUGCUGCUUCGCUGACGAGUGGCGGACGGGUGAGUAAUGUCUGGGAAACUGCCUGAUGGAGGGGGAUAACUACUGGAAACGGUAGCUAAUACCGCAUAAUGUCGCAAGACCAAAGAGGGGGACCUUCGGGCCUCUUGCCAUCGGAUGUGCCCAGAUGGGAUUAGCUAGUAGGUGGGGUAACGGCUCACCUAGGCGACGAUCCCUAGCUGGUCUGAGAGGAUGACCAGCCACACUGGAACUGAGACACGGUCCAGACUCCUACGGGAGGCAGCAGUGGGGAAUAUUGCACAAUGGGCGCAAGCCUGAUGCAGCCAUGCCGCGUGUAUGAAGAAGGCCUUCGGGUUGUAAAGUACUUUCAGCGGGGAGGAAGGUGUUGAGGUUAAUAACCUCAGCAAUUGACGUUACCCGCAGAAGAAGCACCGGCUAACUCCGUGCCAGCAGCCGCGGUAAUACGGAGGGUGCAAGCGUUAAUCGGAAUUACUGGGCGUAAAGCGCACGCAGGCGGUCUGUCAAGUCGGAUGUGAAAUCCCCGGGCUCAACCUCGGAACUGCAUUCGAAACUGGCAGGCUAGAGUCUUGUAGAGGGGGGUAGAAUUCCAGGUGUAGCGGUGAAAUGCGUAGAGAUCUGGAGGAAUACCGGUGGCGAAGGCGGCCCCCUGGACAAAGACUGACGCUCAGGUGCGAAAGCGUGGGGAGCAAACAGGAUUAGAUACCACGGUAGUCCACGCCGUAAACGAUGUCGACUUGGAGGUUGUGCCCUUGAGGCGUGGCUUCCGGAGCUAACGCGUUAAGUCGACCGCCCGGGGAGUACGGCCGCAAGGUUAAAACUCAAAUGAAUUGACGGGGGCCCGCACAAGCGGUGGAGCAUGUGGUUUAAUUCGAUGCAACGCGAAGAACCUUACCUACUCUUGACAUCCAGAGAACUUAGCAGAGAUGCUUUGGUGCCUUCGGGAACUCUGAGACAGGUGCUGCAUGGCUGUCGUCAGCUCGUGUUGUGAAAUGUUGGGUUAAGUCCCGCAACGAGCGCAACCCUUAUCCUUUGUUGCCAGCGGUUAGGCCGGGAACUCAAAGGAGACUGCCAGUGAUAAACUGGAGGAAGGUGGGGAUGACGUCAAGUCAUCAUGGCCCUUACGAGUAGGGCUACACACGUGCUACAAUGGCGCAUACAAAGAGAAGCGACCUCGCGAGAGCAAGCGGACCUCAUAAAGUGCGUCGUAGUCCGGAUUGGAGUCUGCAACUCGACUCCAUGAAGUCGGAAUCGCUAGUAAUCGUGGAUCAGAAUGCCACGGUGAAUACGUUCCCGGCCUUUGUACACACCGCCCGUCACACCAUGGGAGUGGGUUGCAAAAGAAGUAGGUAGCUUAACCUUCGGGAGGGCGCUUACCACUUUGUGAUUCAUGACUGGGGUGAAGUCGUAACAAGGUAACCGUAGGGGAACCUGCGGUUGGAUCACCUCCUUACCUUAAAGAA